GUGGAUAUAGUUUAAUGGUAAAACAACUAUUUGUGGCAUAGUUUAUCCUUGUUCAAAUCAAGGUAUCCUCCC
RNAcentral lists this transfer RNA (72 nucleotides) under Cladophialophora bantiana. RNAcentral's name for it is "tRNA-His". It matches the Rfam family "tRNA". From Rfam's summary of the family: Transfer RNA (tRNA) molecules are approximately 80 nucleotides in length. Their secondary structure includes four short double-helical elements and three loops (D, anti-codon, and T loops). The record is from RNAcentral. Lineage: Eukaryota; Fungi; Ascomycota; Eurotiomycetes; Chaetothyriales; Herpotrichiellaceae.